GCCCGGGAACUCAAAGGAGACUGCCAGUAAUAAACGGGAGGAAGGUGGGGAGACGUCAAGUCAUCAUGGCCCUUACGAGUAGGGCUACACACGUGCUACAAUGGCGCAUACAAAGAGAAGCGACCUCGCGAGAGCAAGCGGACCUCAUAAAGUGCGUCGUAGUCCGGAUUGGAGUCUGCAACUCGACUCCAUGAAGUCGGAAUCGCUAGUAAUCGUAGAUCAGAAUGCUACGGUGAAUACGUUCCCGGGCCUUGUACACACAGCCCGUCACACCAUGGGAGUGGGUUGCAAAAGAAGUAGGUAGCUUUAACCUUCGGGAGGGCGCUUACCC
This 331-nucleotide ribosomal RNA is filed under the name bacterium. RNAcentral's name for it is "bacterial SSU rRNA". It matches the Rfam family "Bacterial small subunit ribosomal RNA", at positions 1129 to 1459 of the family's 1533-position model. The record is from RNAcentral.